GCCGGAAUAGCUCAGGUGGUAGAGCAUCUCAUUCGUAAUGAGGAGGUCGGUGGUUCGAGUCCACUUUCCGGCACCA
Molecule: transfer RNA, 76 nt
Filed under: Gammaproteobacteria bacterium
Lineage: Bacteria; Pseudomonadati; Pseudomonadota; Gammaproteobacteria
Also listed under: 1 other name
Description: tRNA-Thr
Rfam family: tRNA
About the family: Transfer RNA (tRNA) molecules are approximately 80 nucleotides in length.
Source: RNAcentral